RNAcentral lists this small nuclear RNA (112 nucleotides) under Dipodomys ordii (Ord's kangaroo rat). RNAcentral describes it as "U2 spliceosomal RNA". It matches the Rfam family "U2 spliceosomal RNA". Rfam says of the family: U2 is a small nuclear RNA (snRNA) component of the spliceosome (involved in pre-mRNA splicing). Complementary binding between U2 snRNA (in an area lying towards the 5' end but 3' to hairpin I) and the branchpoint sequence (BPS) of the intron results the bulging out of an unpaired adenosine, on the BPS, which initiates a nucleophilic attack at the intronic 5' splice site, thus starting the first of two transesterification reactions that mediate splicing. Lineage: Eukaryota; Metazoa; Chordata; Mammalia; Rodentia; Heteromyidae. The record is from Rfam by way of RNAcentral.
AUCGCUUCUCGGCCUUUUGGCUAAGAUCAAGUGAAGAAACUGAUCAUAUGAUCAGAAAAUGUCAUAUUUGAAUCUAGUGUCUAAGAUGAUUAAAGAUAGGGUAAAAAUCAAA